RNAcentral lists this ribosomal RNA (449 nucleotides) under uncultured bacterium. RNAcentral describes it as "partial 16S ribosomal RNA". It matches the Rfam family "Bacterial small subunit ribosomal RNA", at positions 29 to 523 of the family's 1533-position model. The record is from RNAcentral.
AACGAACGCUGGCGGCAUGCCUAACACAUGCAAGUCGAACGAGAUCUUCGGGUCUAGUGGCGCACGGGUGCGUAACGCGUGGGAAUCUGCCCUUUGGUUCGGAAUAACAGUUGGAAACGACUGCUAAUACCGGAUGAUGACGAAAGUCCAAAGAUUUAUCGCCAGAGGAUGAGCCCGCGUAGGAUUAGCUAGUUGGUGUGGUAAAGGCGCACCAAGGCGACGAUCCUUAGCUGGUCUGAGAGGAUGAUCAGCCACACUGGGACUGAGACACGGCCCAGACUCCUACGGGAGGCAGCAGUGGGGAAUAUUGGACAAUGGGCGAAAGCCUGAUCCAGCAAUGCCGCGUGAGUGAUGAAGGCCUUAGGGUUGUAAAGCUCUUUUACCCGGGAUGAUAACGACAGUACCGGGAGAAUAAGCUCCAGCUAACUCCGUGCCAGCCGCCGCAGUAA